GCAGUUGAAGCCAGCUACACUAACAGGAAGGAAUAACACCCGUGCCAGCUCCUCUCUGGACGGUCUACACAGUCGCAUUUCACUGAUCUGGACUCUGCUCUGCACCUCCCUUGCUGACCUCAGGCAGCUUCAUCGGCUAGCUGCUUUCACAGCUGCAGGACAUAGGAAUAGAAUUGGAUCUUAGGAUCAGUGCAUCUUCAACUCGAUAAGGAAAUGCCAUUCACGUUCCCAAAGUGUGUGUGCCGUUCUACAUCCAAACAGCCAAACAGCAACUGUGUGAGUUCCAGCUGAUUUUCAGUUCUGCCAUUUGAAAACUACUGUCUCUCUGCUUCUUUAGUAAAAAGAGUAAGAGAUGGCUCUUGUCCAAGGAUUGGGAACUACGAGGAGGAUGGAUAAGGACGUUUGCAGUUUACCUUCCUGGGACUGGGGUGACAGCUCAGUGGUCCAAGUCAUGCGCCACCGCUCUUGGGGAGUCUUGCCCAGCACCUGUGGCCGGCGGCUCAUCCCUGCCUGCAACUCUAGUUCCAGGAGUUCAAC
Molecule: non-coding RNA, 537 nt
Organism: Peromyscus maniculatus bairdii (prairie deer mouse)
Lineage: Eukaryota; Metazoa; Chordata; Mammalia; Rodentia; Cricetidae
Source: RefSeq, a predicted model, not a curated record